Molecule: long non-coding RNA, 2546 nt
Filed under: Lytechinus variegatus (green sea urchin)
Lineage: Eukaryota; Metazoa; Echinodermata; Echinoidea; Temnopleuroida; Toxopneustidae
Description: uncharacterized LOC121405928
Source: RNAcentral
UUGAACGCAGAAAUAAAUGCAAACAAAACAAAACAAAUGUUGUAGCCAAAAUGUAGUUUGUUUGAAAGUAAUACGAGGCUACACAUUGUAUUUGAUAGGGAUUUGUACUAGUGGGAAGGUAUUUUAUGAGAUACCUUGUAAGAGUUUUCAGAUCAAAUGGCUUUGGUCAAGGGAAUACUGAGUACUGUUCAAAGUUAAUUUUGCGUUGUCAUGGUAAUGCUGUGUUUUGGAACAGUCCAUGCCCCCUUUCUUAUGUAAUUUUGGCUGGUUGGAUGGGAACCACACAUUGGGGAGUAGGAGGCCAGAGACACCAGUAUUUUAUAUGUUGAUAGGAGGGAGUACAGUAUGUGCAGAGAAGCUCUGGGUUUGGCAAACAUAAUUAACUAAUGAAUAGUUGAGGCGUUUCUUUGUCUGAUACUGGAACUUUGUUAACUUUUUAAUUUUUGUUUUGGGUCUUGAUUAAUAUUCGGUUUAAUUAAGUUAUGGUGUGAAUUAAUGUUAAUUGUUUGAUCCAGAAUGUGUAUUUAAUAGUUUUAGGGGCUACUUUUGAAAAAGUAGGGGGGCCCACGUGUUGAUGAAAGUGUUUUACUUUUAUGUGUCUGUGUGUUAUAAUGGUUAUCAUAUUGUAAUAUGCUGAUCUUUCUGAUUUGUAACUGGGAUUUGGCUAGGAGUACUGCUAGGUUUAGUCAGGAUAAAGUAUCAAUGUUAAUUUCGAGAACCUCAAUCUGAGACCGGGAUUGCAUUAGAGGGAUACUGGAGUGACUAUUGGGGCAGUAAGGUUUUUCUCUUUACCUUUGUUUGUCUGUUAACCUUCGAGGCCGGAAAGGAUGCAUUGGUAGUUGAGAGAAUUAGUCAAAAGUUAUGAGAUUUUUCAGUAUGUUAUAUUGGUGAACCAUUGUUCCAUUGGAAAUUGCUAAGAUUUGGGGGAACAUCUGGUAAUUGUUGUUACCGGUAUUUGUUUAUUGUCUUGUAAUUCUUUAACAAUUUGGAUCAGCUUAAAGUAUAAGUAGGUAGGCCUAUAUUUUUGCAGAUUUAAGGAUGACAUUGUAGUGAUUGAUUUACUGGCUAUAAUUAUAUAAUGGUCUGUUAUUCGUUGAGAUACAUGGAUUGUGAAGGUCUAUGUCGAUAACUAAACAAUUGGUUGGUAUAAACUCUGGAGCUGUUAGGAUCAGUUAGGAAGCACUUGGAAUGUUAAUGCUAGAAACCUCAAUAUGAGACUAGUAUUACAUAAUAAGGAGUGUACUUGAAAACUGAAACAGUUGAGCUUUUGCACUAGAUAUGUUUUCUGUGUUUAUUCUCGUCACGAGACCAGGAAGUUCGUAUUAGUGGUGCGGGUUCGCCAAUACCGUGUUAUUGCUGAGAUUUUUAUAUUCCGUAUCAGGUGAUUACUGGCUUUAUGUAUUUAGUGUCAUGAUUAAUUGUAAAUUGAUUUGUUCUGUAACUGCGAACAAGCAUCUCCAGGUAGUGUUACUUAAAGUAGGACUUUAAUUUGUAAUAAUUUUUGUAUAGUGAGUGGCGGGACGUCACUCAAUUAAGUAGGGGAGUAUGUAACAGGUCAAAAUGAACUGUUUAUUGAAAAUUCAUAUGUUUUCAUUACUCUUAAUCAUUUGUUUGUAAGUAAUAGAUGCCUUCACAGGAAGUGCACAGGAAUUAGUAGAAAGUAGAAAUGUUUAACAAUCUUCAUGCUUUUUAAGAAGUAUGAUUCACACUCUUUCUGGGUAAGAGUGAUGCGGUCUUUGGGUCAAAACAUCACAUUCCAGAGCUAUGAGCUUGUAUGACGUAGAUCAUUAUGGUCAAGGCUUAGCAUCUGUGAAUGGAAAGUGAUAACUGCAUAAAAAAGGGGAAAGGAUUUUACUCCAAUUCACUCCUGCACUGCACCCCAUUCAUGGGGCAGGCAGAGAGGCUUCUUCAUUUUUGGGUCAGAAUUAUAUAGGUAAGAUAUUUAUCUUAUUUUGUCAAUUCUAUUAGUUUUGAACGAUAGUUUAUAAAGUUGGUUAAUAAUGUAUUUUCUAUUGUUCGGAAUAAGAGGUUAGGUUAUGUAUAUUAAAGUAUGCUAGCAUAGCAUAUUUGUCUUUAUUUGAAGGGGUUUUGUGAAUUAAGUAAUUAAUUAGUUGUGCAUCCGUCUUUGUCACUUCAGAUGAUUUUUGUGGUAUUUUAUAUUAAUUACUUGUACUUGUAUACUUGAUUGUAGUAUGUAGAUAAACAUAAAAUGUGUUCGGUUCUAAUCGUAAAGUAAAACGAUUUAGUAAAAUGAUCUUUAGAGUUGAAGAUUUUGGUUAUUGAAUUGUAAAUUCAAUGUUUCUGUUUUGUGUUUUCAGAGUAAAGGGUCACAAUAAUUGCUUACUAUGUGUAAUAAUUGUUACUUUCAUUUUAAAGGUAUAUUUGACAUGACAUUCGUGUAGCGGGUGAGGCUAUCACGAGAGGAAAUAUGGUCCUCUAGGCCAGAUUGCCAGGGUUUUUUUUUAUUUCUUUAUCUUUUGUUCCUGUACUUGGAAAUUUUGGAAUUUUGUAUAUAACGACUCAUCGAUAUUAAACGAACCGAAACA